GGAACCAAAGUGAGGGCAAACUCUUGAAGUUCUAGCAUGGGCCUGCUAUCUCAUGUUAGGUCCACAUUUGUGGGAAAAUGUUCCAAAGGAAACUUUGGCAUGUCAAGAUUCCUGCAGUCGAAUGAUUUUCAGCGCAAGUUGAUUUUAUCCAGCGGUAAAGAAUAUGAGCAUUUUAGCAAGAGGUCUUAUUCUUCCCCUUCUAUGACGCCUGGAACUGAGAGUACGACUGCAAUUACUAAAUUUAAGAUGCCAAAUAUAGGGAGUGAAGGCUUUGCCUUUUCAUCAUUUUUAUCAACUGUCAACAGAAAUUCAAGUAUGAUUAAUUUCAGUAGUUGCUUCAAAACCCCUGUGAAACCUGAACAGGUUGCUGCAAAUCCUGUCAUCAAUAAAAUGACUACUGGGAUGGAGAGGAUACCAAGGGCUUUAAGGUUUGUGUUCUUUCAUUACCAUUUAAAUGUUUAUAUAUAUGUUACAUACAAUUUUAAUAGACUAGUGUAGUUUGCAACAUCCUUUUUGCCACUAAAAAGAGUGACAAUGAGAGGUUUAAAACGGGAUUGACUUUCAAAUUGUGUCAUAACAAAGUGCAAGAAGACGAGACAUAAGGUGGGUAUUUGGUUAAGCUAAACUUUUAUAAACCUAGGAUGUUUUUUAUACAUAGAGAUAAAAGUACAGCAAAUACGCUUGAGUUAUGAAAUUUUUUACUGAAAUAUUCAAUCUUAAUACUCUAGCAUUUAGGGAAAUAUACACAUUUAUGUUAUCUUCCUGUUCUUGAAAUCACACAUUGGAUUUGUCUCUUCCUAAUAUCAGUAGUGUAGGAUAGUAUUCGUUUCUAGAGUGAAUACCUUAAAUGUGUCCAAGGUAUGGGAUAAAAGAAAGAUGUCAUAGUGGAUUUUUCUAAGUCUCCACAUCACCUUUAAAUUUGAUUUUUUAAUUGUCUCAGACUGUAUAACAUAAGAUAGACUAGAACAAGAGUUCAUAUCUUGUAAUGAUGAAGAAAUAUUAAAAUAUAACGUGGUAAGAGUUAGGAAAAACUAAAGUUUUUAUUGAGAUGAUCUGAUUAUCAUAACUUGUAAUGAUUAAUUCUUGAUUUUUUUUAGAGAAAACGAUUGAUCAUUUUCGGUAAUCAUAUAUUCCAAGUGUUGUCUUUAUUAUGAAUAGAUGGAUGUGUGGAGGCUUCCCUGCGAUAUCCUUUUGUGAUGCACCAGAACCGUGGCAACUAGGAUUUCAAGAUGCGGCAACACCUAUAAUGCAAGGAAUAAUGGACUUACAUCACGACAUCUUUUUCUUCCUUGUUCAAAUUGCGGUUUUUGUUUUGUGGGUCUUGUCUCGUGCUUUAUGGUGUUUCAGGUCUAAAAUUAGUCCAAUCCCACAAAGGAUUGUUCAUGGAACCACCAUUGAGAUUCUCUGGACCAUAUUUCCCAGUAUCAUUCUCAUGUUUAUCGCCAUACCAUCAUUCACUUUGUUAUACUCAAUGGACGAUGUUGUAGUUGAUCCUGCCAUUACUAUCAAAGCUAUUGGGCAUCAAUGGUAUUGGAGUUAUGAGUAUUCAGACUAUAACAAUUCGGAUGAGCAGUCCCUUGCUUUUGACAGUUAUAUGGUUCCAGAAGAUGAUCUAGAAUUGGGUCAACUGCGUUUAUUAGAAGUUGACAAUAGAGUGGUGGUACCCGCCAAAACUCAUCUGCGUGUUCUGAUAACAUCAGCUGAUGUACUUCAUAGCUGGGCUGUACCUUCCUUGGGUGUGAAAUGUGAUGCAGUACCUGGUCGUUUGAAUCAGAUCUCUACUUUUAUACAACGAGAAGGGGUUUAUUAUGGUCAGUGCAGUGAAAUUUGUGGAACUAAUCAUGCUUUUAUGCCUAUUGUUGUGGAAGCUGUUUCUACUAAGGAUUAUGGUUCCUGGGUUUCCAAUCAAAUCCAAUAAUCUUGGUGGAGACAAUGACGACAUUGAUAUGGUGACAGAAGUAGCAGUGACAAGAAUUGCUGAUGGUCAGAUAAGACAAAUAAAACUUAGUAUUUUUCAAUGACUAUUUCGUAUUUGAACCAAAGAAUUGUCUCAGCAACAGAAUUAAGUUUGUCACUGUCUAUUUGCACUUGUUUGUGUGUCCCAUUUUAUUUUGUUAUAAAAUAAUACCUGAAACAGUGUAUUUUUUUUUUUUAUGUGCCAUACUUUUUUUGAGAAAUUAAAUGCAUACAUAUUUAUUUGUUGGGAAGUUUGCGGUGUGAUUUUA
RNAcentral lists this long non-coding RNA (2225 nucleotides) under Vigna radiata. RNAcentral's name for it is "long non-coding RNA (VRAD_LNC003259)". The record is from RNAcentral. Lineage: Eukaryota; Viridiplantae; Streptophyta; Magnoliopsida; Fabales; Fabaceae.